UGUUCCACGAUCUCGAAAGAAAAUUUGUGCGAACGAAGGCUACUCACUCACUUUCGUAUAAGAAUGCGUUCCACUAACUUUCGUUCUUUCUUUCGCAUAGCCUUACGUGAUUCAGUGUUGCUAAAUAUUUUUUUGGAAAAAUUAAUCGCGAAAUAAAGCAAAAAAAGCGUCAAAUGUAUAACAGCCAGUUCCACGAUAUCGAAAUAACACGUUCGCACAAUUUUUACACGACAAACAGCUGAUUUCCGUUCCACUAAAAUCUAUCUGAACGAAAAUUUGCACGAAAAUCAAAGCGAACGAAAACGUAAGCAUUUCAGUGUAAUUUUGCGUUCCACUAUCUUUUUUCUUUCGUACGCAUGCGAACACAAAUGUCAAAAUCAGUCACUUGUGUGUUUGCUAUCGUAUAAUAACAAUUAAGGAAAAUUGUUUUAACAUAAACAUUGCUUGAUUGAAAAUGGAAACAAAAAUCACGAAAAAAUCAUCAACUACACAGCUGCGGGCACUAGUUGAGUAAAUGGAGGAGAAUCCUGUGUUCGCCAGAGGAAUGCCAAUUUUUGGAAGCAGCAGAAGAAGUUUUAAAUCGGGGCGGAUUUGGGUAGUUCUGCAACCGGGCACCCACUUCUCUUCCAUCAUAUCCAAAAGAGCCCGAAAACUUCCUUCGACACACGAAAGAUGGCCACAAACCUAGAAAAAAUCAUUUUUUAUUAUUUCAAAAAUGUAAAAAUACAAUCAUACUUACUGGUUGUUAGGUACUUCAAAUAAAUUCGAAGCAUCUCUUAAA
Long non-coding RNA from Musca domestica (house fly), 781 nucleotides. RefSeq lists it as uncharacterized. Lineage: Eukaryota; Metazoa; Arthropoda; Insecta; Diptera; Muscidae. The record is from RefSeq and is a predicted model, not a curated record. The transcript has 2 exons.